Molecule: ribosomal RNA, 603 nt
Filed under: uncultured bacterium
Lineage: Bacteria
Description: bacterial SSU rRNA
Rfam family: Bacterial small subunit ribosomal RNA
Source: RNAcentral
GUGGGGUGACGGCCUACCAAGGCGACGACGGGUAGCCGGCCUGAGAGGGUGUCCGGCCACACUGGGACUGAGAUACGGCCCAGACUCCUACGGGAGGCAGCAGUGGGGAAUAUUGCACAAUGGGCGCAAGCCUGAUGCAGCGACGCCGCGUGGGGGAUGACGGCCUUCGGGUUGUAAACCUCUUUCAGCAGGGACGAAGCGCAAGUGACGGUACCUGCAGAAGAAGCACCGGCCAACUACGUGCCAGCAGCCGCGGUAAUACGUAGGGUGCGAGCGUUGUCCGGAAUUACUGGGCGUAAAGAGCUCGUAGGUGGUUUGUCGCGUUGUUCGUGAAAACCGGGGGCUUAACCCUCGGCGUGCGGGCGAUACGGGCAGACUGGAGUACUGCAGGGGAGACUGGAAUUCCUGGUGUAGCGGUGGAAUGCGCAGAUAUCAGGAGGAACACCGGUGGCGAAGGCGGGUCUCUGGGCAGUAACUGACGCUGAGGAGCGAAAGCGUGGGGAGCGAACAGGAUUAGAUACCCUGGUAGUCCACGCCGUAAACGGUGGGUACUAGGUGUGGGUUUCCUUCCUUGGGAUCCGUGCCGUAGCUAACGCAUUAAGU